GCUAAGUGUUAGAGGGUUUCCGCCCUUUAGUGCUGAAGUUAACGCAUUAAGCACUCCGCCUGGGGAGUACGGCCGCAAGGCUGAAACUCAAAGGAAUUGACGGGGGCCCGCACAAGCGGUGGAGCAUGUGGUUUAAUUCGAAGCAACGCGAAGAACCUUACCAGGUCUUGACAUCCUCUGAAAACCCUAGAGAUAGGGCUUCUCCUUCGGGAGCAGAGUGANCAGGUGGUGCAUGGUUGUCGUCAGCUCGUGUCGUGAGAUGUUGGGUUAAGUCCCGCAACGAGCGCAACCCUUGAUCUUAGUUGCCAUCAUUAAGUUGGGCACUCUAAGGUGACUGCCGGUGACAAACCGGAGGAAGGUGGGGAUGACGUCAAAUCAUCAUGCCCCUUAUGACCUGGGCUACACACGUGCUACAAUGGACGGUACAAAGAGCUGCAAGACCGCGAGGUGGAGCUAAUCUCAUAAAACCGUUCUCAGUUCGGAUUGUAGGCUGCAACUCGCCUACAUGAAG
Molecule: ribosomal RNA, 511 nt
Filed under: Bacillus sp. RBR-45
Lineage: Bacteria; Bacillati; Bacillota; Bacilli; Caryophanales; Bacillaceae
Description: bacterial SSU rRNA
Rfam family: Bacterial small subunit ribosomal RNA
Source: RNAcentral